RNAcentral lists this ribosomal RNA (446 nucleotides) under uncultured bacterium. Its description in RNAcentral is "partial 16S ribosomal RNA". It matches the Rfam family "Bacterial small subunit ribosomal RNA", at positions 338 to 795 of the family's 1533-position model. The record is from RNAcentral.
CCUACGGGAGGCAGCAGUCGAGAAUCAUUCACAAUGGGGGAAACCCUGAUGGGGCGACGCCGCGUGGGGGAAUGAAGGUCUGCGGAUUGUAAACCCCUGUCACGUGGGAGCAAAUUAAAAAGAUAGUACCACAAGAGGAAGAGACGACUAACUCUGGGCCAGCAGCCGCGGUAAUACAGAGGUCGCAAGCGUUGUUCGGAAUCACUGGGCGUAAAGGGUGCGUAGGCUGUUUCGUAAGUUGUGUGUGAAAGGCGCGGGCUCAACCCGCGGACGGCACCUGAUACUGCGAGACUAGAGUAAUGGAGGGGGAACCGGAAUUCUCGGUGUAGCCGUGAAAUGCGUAGAUAUCGCGCGGAACACUCGUGGCGAAGGCGGGUUCCUGGACAUUACCUGCCGCUGAGGCACGAAGGCCCGGGGAGCGAACCGGAUUAGAUACCCGAGUAGUC